UGUCAGUAUGUUGCAGGAAGAAAUUCUCUGCUACCUUCCUGUGGCCUCCCCCUUCCUUGUGAGUUACAGAGAAUAGAGAAUAGAGAACUUUGUAGACAGCAACAUUGUUGCAUUACUUGUUGCAGUGAAGUAGCAGUGCCAGGAUUCCUAAUAGAAUGCAAGAUGUAGUGUUCUGUUUUAGAUCUCUCUGUAAUGGGGAUAGUCAUACACACAGCAAUACACACACAGGCAGUCAGUCAUACACAGUUACAUUCAUACAUGCAGUAACACCCACACAGUUGCAGACACGUACAGGCACAGGCACAAGCAGACAGUCACACAGGCAGACACAAAGGCUGACACACACACACAGGCAGACAGACUCACACACACACACAGGCAGACAGACACACACACACACACACACACACACACACACAGUUACAGUCACACAAAUGUAAAGUUACCUUUCUCCAUAAUGAGCUGUAAGGAAGGAGAGGGGGC
Non-coding RNA from Pelobates cultripes (western spadefoot toad), 483 nucleotides. The record is from the annotation of a GenBank genome assembly. Lineage: Eukaryota; Metazoa; Chordata; Amphibia; Anura; Pelobatidae.